GUGUGGUGGUUCAGUGGUAGAAUUUUUCCCUUCCACGAAGGAGACCUGGGAUCAAUUCCCAACCAGCACA
This 70-nucleotide transfer RNA is filed under the name Loxodonta africana (African savanna elephant). It matches the Rfam family "tRNA". From Rfam's summary of the family: Transfer RNA (tRNA) molecules are approximately 80 nucleotides in length. Their secondary structure includes four short double-helical elements and three loops (D, anti-codon, and T loops). The record is from Rfam by way of RNAcentral. Lineage: Eukaryota; Metazoa; Chordata; Mammalia; Proboscidea; Elephantidae.